This 208-nucleotide ribosomal RNA is filed under the name uncultured bacterium. Its description in RNAcentral is "partial 16S ribosomal RNA". It matches the Rfam family "Bacterial small subunit ribosomal RNA", at positions 1293 to 1500 of the family's 1533-position model. The record is from RNAcentral.
UCGGAUUGUAGGCUGCAACUCGCCUACAUGAAGUUGGAAUCGCUAGUAAUCGCGAAUCAGCAUGUCGCGGUGAAUACGUUCCCGGGUCUUGUACACACCGCCCGUCACACCAUGGGAGUCAGCAACGCCCGAAGUCAGUGACCUAACCGAGAGGAAGGAGCUGCCGAAGGCGGGGCAGGUAACUGGGGUGAAGUCGUAACAAGGUAAC